Molecule: ribosomal RNA, 118 nt
Filed under: Gymnogobius breunigii
Lineage: Eukaryota; Metazoa; Chordata; Actinopteri; Gobiiformes; Gobiidae
Description: partial 16S ribosomal RNA
Source: RNAcentral
GUACUCCUAACAGCUAGCCCCUCCCCUAAAAAGCAACAAACACCAUUAAUAACCCCCUAAACACUAGUACACCUAGACAACAAAUCAUUUUUCCUCCCUAGUAUGGGCGACAGAAAAG